This 866-nucleotide non-coding RNA is filed under the name Nectophryne afra. The record is from RNAcentral. Lineage: Eukaryota; Metazoa; Chordata; Amphibia; Anura; Bufonidae.
AUUUACAUAUGCAAGUAUCCGCCUUCCAGUGAGAACGCCCUUUACCCCUAUCAGGAACAAGGAGCCGGUAUCAGGCACACACGCCCAAAACACCUAGCCAUGCCACACCCACAAGGGAACUCAGCAGUGAUUAACAUUAAACAUAAGCGCAAGCUUGRSGGUAGUCAAAGUAAUUUAGGGCCGGCCAAUCUGGUGCCAGCCGCCGCGGCUACACCAUCUGGCUCAAAUUGAUCAUUUUCGGCGUAAAACGUGAUUUAAGGAGUUAAACUAAGCUAAGCUGUNGCACGCCUGCAUAAGAAAAUUYAAAACGAAAGUUACUCUAACACAAUCAACUUGAACCCACGACAGCUGANGAACAAACUGGGAUUAGAUACCCCACUAUGCUCAKCCGUAWACUUUUAUUUUNAUCUUANCCGCCAGGGAWYUACKAGCCAUGCUUAWAACCNAWANGACUWSDSRSGKUHCCCAUAUYYCCCUAGARGRRSCYWUCCUASAAUCRAUAUCCACGUUUAACCUCACCACUUCUAAUUAAUCAACCUGUUAGACCUCGUCGUCAGCUUACUUAGUGAGCCUAAUACUAUCUAUCAGUUAGUCAGGUUAAGGUGCAGCAAAUGAGGUGGAAAGAGAUAGGCUACACUUUUCUACUUUAGAAAAACGAAAAACUACCUAUGAAAUCUAGUUAGAAGGCCAAUUUAGCAGUAAAAAGAAAUCAAAAUAUUCUUUUUAACCUGGCACUGAAGUGCGCACACACCGCCCGUCACCCUCUUCAAAGCUAUGAAUAUAAUCAUUAAUCCCAAAGCUCAAUAGAAGAGGUAUGUCGUAACAUGGUAAGUAUACCGAAAGGUGUGCUUGGAAACGCAAUGUAG